RNAcentral lists this ribosomal RNA (253 nucleotides) under uncultured bacterium. RNAcentral's name for it is "partial 16S ribosomal RNA". It matches the Rfam family "Bacterial small subunit ribosomal RNA", at positions 524 to 776 of the family's 1533-position model. The record is from RNAcentral.
GACGUAGGGCGCGAGCGUUGUCCGGAUUUAUUGGGCGUAAAGAGCUCGUAGGCGGCUUGUCGCGUCGUCCGUGAAAACCUGCAGCUCAACUGCAGGCUUGCGGUCGAUACGGGCAGGCUAGAGUGCGGAAGGGGCAACUGGAAUUCUCGGUGUAGCGGUGAAAUGCGUAGAUAUCGAGAGGAACACCUGCGGCGAAGGCGGGUUGCUGGGCCGACACUGACGCUGAUGCGCGAAAGCUAGGGGAGCGAACGGG